Molecule: ribosomal RNA, 989 nt
Filed under: Alexandrium catenella
Lineage: Eukaryota; Dinophyceae; Gonyaulacales; Pyrocystaceae
Description: partial large subunit ribosomal RNA
Rfam family: Eukaryotic large subunit ribosomal RNA
Source: RNAcentral
GGAGCUAUUGGCUUUGAAUUGUAUUGUGGAAAUGUAUUACCAACAGAGGUGCAGGUGCCAGCCUAUUGAAAUAAAGCGUCAAUGAGGGUGAGAAUCCUGUUUGUCAUGUGCAGCCCUUUGUGCACGGUGUAUAUUUGCUGAGUCACACUCCUUGGCAUUGGAAUGCAAAGUGGGUGGUAAGUUUCAUGUAAAGGUAAACAUGCAAUUGAGACUGAUAGCACACAAGUACCAUGAGGGAAAUAUGAAAAGGACUUUGAAAAGAGAAUUAAAUGAGUUUGUAUUUGCUGAACACAAAGUAAACAGACUUGAUUUGCUUGGUGGGAGUGUUGCACUUGCUUGACAAGAGCUUUGGGCUGUGGGUGUAAUGAUUCUUUCUUUGCAUGCCAGUUUCUAUUUGUACAUCUGAUUACCUUUGCACAUGAAUGAUAAGUCUCCUGUGGGGGGUGGAUUGCAUGUGCAUGUAAUGAUUUGUGUUUUGAUAAAUGUGUCUGGUGUAUGUGUGUGUUCCUGUGCUUGGGGAUGCUUCCUUCCUUGGACUUACAAGCCCUGACACACACAUGCUGGCAAAAUGCUUCUGCUUGACCCGUCUUGAAACACGGACCAAGGAGUCUAACAGAUGUGCAAAGUUUGAAGGUGGUAUACCUUUGUGUGCAAUGAAAGUGUCAGCUGGGAUAUGUGCACCAGCACCCAAUUAAUUAGCGGACAGAGGUUUGAGUUGGAGCAUAUCUAUUAGGACCCGAAAGAUGGUGAACUAUGCCUGAACAGAAUGAAUUCAGAGGAAACUCUGAUGGAGGUUCGUAUCGAUACUGACGUGCAAAUCGUUCGUCAUAUUUGGGUAUAGGGGCGAAAGACUAAUCGAACCAUCUAGUAGCUGGUUCCCUCCGAAGUUUCCCUCAGGAUAGCUGGAGUUGCUCAGUUUUAUCAGGUAAAGCGAAUGAUUAGAGGAAUUGGGGACAGGUUUGUCUUUGACCUAUUCUCAAACUUUAAAU